Molecule: ribosomal RNA, 253 nt
Filed under: uncultured bacterium
Lineage: Bacteria
Description: partial 16S ribosomal RNA
Rfam family: Bacterial small subunit ribosomal RNA
Source: RNAcentral
UACAGAGGUCUCAAGCGUUGUUCGGAUUCAUUGGGCGUAAAGGGUGCGUAGGUGGCGAGGUUAGUCUGGUGUGAAAUCUCGGAGCUCAACUCCGAAACUGCAUUGGAUACUGCCUUGCUUGAGUACUGGAGAGGAGAUUGGAAUUUACGGUGUAGCAGUGAAAUGCGUAGAUAUCGUGAGGAAGACCAGUGGCGAAGGCGAAUCUCUGGACAGUUACUGACACUGAGGCGCGAAGGCGAGGGGAGCAAACAGG